CCAUCUGGUGUGUUCCAUGGUGGAACUCGUCCUCCUGGGAGCAGAAUCAUCUGAGGCGGAGGAAUUGGAAAACGGGAAGGCAUUUUUGCAAGAGGAGCAGCAGCGGCAGCAGUAAACAAGACAGCUCACCCUUACCAUUCUUGGAGAAAAGCAGAACCUCUGGCCACACAAAAGGGAAAUAGCUCUACUGAGGAGGUGGUUCAAACAGUGGCCAACGACUCAAUCCGAGAGACAGUGUGCCUUCAUUACCUGCCUCUGCUUCUGUUGCCACUGAAUACUCCCAUAAGUUUGACGAGC
Long non-coding RNA from Hemiscyllium ocellatum (epaulette shark), 297 nucleotides. RefSeq lists it as uncharacterized. Lineage: Eukaryota; Metazoa; Chordata; Chondrichthyes; Orectolobiformes; Hemiscylliidae. The transcript is spliced from 3 exons. The record is from RefSeq and is a predicted model, not a curated record.